Molecule: ribosomal RNA, 465 nt
Filed under: Vreelandella stevensii
Lineage: Bacteria; Pseudomonadati; Pseudomonadota; Gammaproteobacteria; Oceanospirillales; Halomonadaceae
Description: partial 16S ribosomal RNA
Rfam family: Bacterial small subunit ribosomal RNA
Source: RNAcentral
CCUACGGGAGGCUGCAGUGGGGAAUAUUGGACAAUGGGCGAAAGCCUGAUCCAGCCAUGCCGCGUGUGUGAAGAAGGCCUUCGGGUUGUAAAGCACUUUCAGUGGGGAAGAAAGCCUUGGGGCUAAUACCCUCGAGGAAGGACAUCACCCACAGAAGAAGCACCGGCUAACUCCGUGCCAGCAGCCGCGGUAAUACGGAGGGUGCGAGCGUUAAUCGGAAUUACUGGGCGUAAAGCGCGCGUAGGCGGUCUGAUAAGCCGGUUGUGAAAGCCCCGGGCUCAACCUGGGAACGGCAUCCGGAACUGUCAGGCUAGAGUGCAGGAGAGGAUGGUAGAAUUCCCGGUGUAGCGGUGAAAUGCGUAGAGAUCGGGAGGAAUACCAGUGGCGAAGGCGGCCUUCUGGACUGACACUGACGCUGAGGUGCGAAAGCGUGGGUAGCAAACAGGAUUAGAUACCCGUGUAGUC